AAGUCGUAACAAGGUUUCCGUAGGUGAACCUGCGGAAGGAUCAUUAACACAACAACUUCUAUAUCAACCUGGGAGCACUUGACACGAGCCUUUCCGAGCGGAUGCUGAUUCGGCAAUGGUUGGAUUCGGCCUUCUCAGCUGUGGCGCCAUCUUGGCCCUGCCAUGAACUUGAAAGUGGCUUGGUCUUGCUCGUACAUCAUGUGCGAUACGUGAGUUCCUAUCCGACUUCGUUAGGUAUUACAGCCUCAACCAUGGCUGGCCCUUUUUUUUUACAACCUAUUGAAUUUCUGUACUGAUUUGGGCUUUCGGAUCGAGAGGAAGCAAUUCCUUUCUCCAAAGCUUUUUGAUGGAGCAAUCCACUCAUUAAGUAACCAAAACACAACUCUUAACAGCGGAUAUCUCGGUUCUC
This 409-nucleotide unclassified non-coding RNA is filed under the name fungal sp. RNAcentral's name for it is "partial internal transcribed spacer region". The stretch from base 1 to 46 matches the Rfam family "Eukaryotic small subunit ribosomal RNA", at positions 1786 to 1831 of the family's 1831-position model. Lineage: Eukaryota; Fungi. The record is from RNAcentral.